Molecule: transfer-messenger RNA, 358 nt
Filed under: Mycoplana sp. BE70
Lineage: Bacteria; Pseudomonadati; Pseudomonadota; Alphaproteobacteria; Hyphomicrobiales; Rhizobiaceae
Rfam family: Alphaproteobacteria transfer-messenger RNA
About the family: Bacterial tmRNA, also known as 10Sa RNA or SsrA, is named for its dual tRNA and mRNA-like properties. Its role is to liberate the mRNA from a stalled ribosome. To accomplish this part of the tmRNA is used as a reading frame that ends in a translation stop signal.
Source: RNAcentral
GACCUUUUCAUAGGCCGCGGAAACUCCUAUAUGUCGGGUGCUGCCUUGGCAGCUAUGGCAAUAAACGGGCGGUGUAAUAAACCCAUUGGACCCGGGGGCGGUACCCGGCGCCUCCACCAAAAACCGAUCGGCUGCAGAUCGGCUUUUGCUGGGGGCGAAAUAGGAUCGACAAGGGCGUAAAGAUCGACUUUUUGCUCGGCAUGAUACCACCGUUAUCGGGUCAAAAAUGUAGUUGCAAACGACAACUAUGCUGAAGCACGUCUCGCUGCUUAAUCGCAGUGCGACACUUCAAAUCAAGCCCUUGCGGGUAGCACCGUAAGGCGGGGUCCGAAGGCACCUGGCAACAGAAGCCUUCACC